CGACGUGAGGAACCUGCCUUUCAGAGGGGGACAACAGUUGGAAACGACUGCUAAUACCGCAUAAUAUAUUGUUGUCGCAUGGCAAUGAUAUCAAAGAUUUAUCGCUGAAAGAUGGCCUCGCGUCUGAUUAGCUAGUUGGUAGGGUAACGGCCUACCAAGGCGACGAUCAGUAGCCGGACUGAGAGGUUGGCCGGCCACAUUGGGACUGAGAUACGGCCCAGACUCCUACGGAAGGCAGCAG
This 241-nucleotide ribosomal RNA is filed under the name uncultured bacterium. RNAcentral's name for it is "partial 16S ribosomal RNA". It matches the Rfam family "Bacterial small subunit ribosomal RNA", at positions 113 to 354 of the family's 1533-position model. The record is from RNAcentral.